Molecule: ribosomal RNA, 510 nt
Filed under: uncultured bacterium
Lineage: Bacteria
Description: bacterial SSU rRNA
Rfam family: Bacterial small subunit ribosomal RNA
Source: RNAcentral
AGAGUUUGAUCAUGGCUCAGGACGAACGCUGGCGGCGUGCUUAACACAUGCAAGUCGAACGGAUUGUCAGGAGCUUGCUCCUGACAGUUAGUGGCGAACGGGUGAGUAACACGUGAGUAACCUGCCCCCUACUCUGGGAUAACCUCGGGAAACCGAAGCUAAUACCGGAUACGACGCGCGACGGCAUCGUCUGCGCGUGGAAAGAAUUUCGGUGGGGGAUGGACUCGCGGCCUAUCAGCUAGUUGGUGAGGUAACGGCCCACCAAGGCGACGACGGGUAGCCGGCCUGAGAGGGUGACCGGCCACACUGGGACUGAGACACGGCCCAGACUCCUACGGGAGGCAGCAGUGGGGAAUAUUGCACAAUGGGCGCAAGCCUGAUGCAGCAACGCCGCGUGAGGGACGACGGCCUUCGGGUUGUAAACCUCUUUUAGUAGGGAAGAAGAAGCUUGCUUUGACGGUACCUGCAGAAAAAGCACCAGCUAACUACGUGCCAGCAGCCGCGGUAAUA